UACGGGAGCUGGUUGGCUGCUUUUGCUGGGGCAGAGUGACGUCAUGCACUAUUUGCGGCGGAUUGGGAUGCUGUGUGUAGGAACUAGCGAGGCUGAGAGGGAGCGAGCGGAGGGUCGGGGCCUGUAAACGGUACAGGACAAGCGGGAUAGUAACUAAUUUGUUGGACCUUACUCUCCUUUUGUAUGUUGCUUGGUAGACAAAGCUAAGGGGAACGUGGAAUUUCUACCCCACUGCCUAGGCAAGUGGGGAGAGAUGAGAGGCAGUGUAAGGCAGAUAAGGCAGCUGGGAAGUUGGAAAACUGGUGGUGGAUAAACCCAAAUGUCAAGAUGUCAUCUUCAGUUACCUAUUCAUGAAGACCUUUAAACCGUUGAGAAGAAAAACAUUUUCCUCCCCUGACCCAGAAGUGCUUUAGUAGGCUCUGGGACAUAUUCAGGUGACUUUUUCUACAGCUGGUCUGUUUGCUGCUGUCGUCCUGCAGAGAUGCCAUUUACACUGUGAACAUUUUGCCAGUCUUCGCAAAGUUGAAGUAAAAUGAAGCAAAGGCACCCUAGC
Protopterus annectens (West African lungfish) is the source of this 553-nucleotide long non-coding RNA. RefSeq lists it as uncharacterized. NCBI's taxonomy places the organism in Eukaryota, Metazoa, Chordata, Ceratodontiformes, Protopteridae. The transcript is spliced from 3 exons. The record is from RefSeq and is a predicted model, not a curated record.